Molecule: ribosomal RNA, 465 nt
Filed under: uncultured bacterium
Lineage: Bacteria
Description: partial 16S ribosomal RNA
Rfam family: Bacterial small subunit ribosomal RNA
Source: RNAcentral
CCUACGUGAGGCAGCAGUGGGGAAUAUUGCGCAAUGGGCGAAAGCCUGACGCAGCGACGCCGCGUGAGGGAUGAAGGUCUUCGGAUCGUAAACCUCUGUCAGCAGGGAAGAACGGUCACUGUGCUAAUCAGCAGUGAAUUGACGGUACCUGCAAAGGAAGCACCGGCUAACUCCGUGCCAGCAGCUGCGGUAAUACGGAGGGUGCGAGCGUUAAUCGGAAUUACUGGGCGUAAAGCGCUCGUAGGCGGUAUGUCAAGUCAAGGGUGAAAUCCCCGCGCUCAACGUGGGUACUGCCUUUGAAACUGGCAAACUGGAGUGUGUGAGAGGAUAGUGGAAUUCCAGGUGUAGGAGUGAAAUCCGUAGAUAUCUGGAGGAACAUCAGUGGCGAAGGCGACUAUCUGGCACAUAACUGACGCUGAGGAGCGAAAGCGUGGGUAGCAAACAGGAUUAGAUACCCCAGUAGUC